RNAcentral lists this long non-coding RNA (569 nucleotides) under Homo sapiens (human). RNAcentral describes it as "POT1 antisense RNA 1". The record is from RNAcentral. Lineage: Eukaryota; Metazoa; Chordata; Mammalia; Primates; Hominidae.
ACGCAUGCGUGCAGGAUCCCUGGGCAUAGUCGCUUGUUCUCCGCCCGCGGUGGACCAGCUGCGUAACGGUUCACACACUGAUGGCGCCUGGAGGUUUGGCGAAAUACUGACAGGAUGCGACGUCAACGGGAGCGCAGGGCCAAGAUACCCUUUAUAUCAAACCGUCUAUCCUGGAGCAGAAAAAUCCUGUCUUCAUUGCUAUAGCUACAGAUUCAGAAAUGAGCAUGUAACAAAUUCAGGCCAAAGAGAGGCAAUGGAAAUCAGAGAAACACUGUUCCUGAAAGCUUCUGUCACUCAAGAAUCCAUGAAACAUUCAUGAACUUCACAUCAGAGUCCUCAGAAGGGAAGAUAGUGUUAAUGUAGAAUUGAUAACACAGAAUGCACCACUGCUGUGAUCCUUAUAUCUUGGCUGGCCAUUACCCCUCCACUUGGAAAUGAAAAAGAUAAACUAAUUGAAGCAGUGAGAAGAGAAAAAGGGAGAGGAAGGUGCUAUUGUGGAGGUGCAUACCCAACAGUUUGAUAAUGUAGAGGAAGUGAUAGCUUUGUCUCGUGGAAUCUGGGUCGACCUC